GAGGACCUGAAGGUUUGGGUGGGCAACAUCACCGGCAGCAUCACGGAGCACGAGGACAUCGCCAAAUGGGGGCAGCCCCAACCAACUACCUCAUCCACCGACGAGGGCACGCGGCAAGACGGCAGCAAGGCGGAAAACCGGUCAGAGCGAGGCGGUGAGCGCUCGGACCGCGGCGACCGGAUCGAGCCGGCGGAAAACGAGACGGAGAAGGAGAAGGAGAAGGGCGAGCGAUCGGAGCGGGGAGGGAAGUCGGACUCUAAGCGCUCGGAAAAGUCCGGUAAGAAAAAGUGAGCCGUGUGACGGAAUCGGUCGGGAUUGAACCGUACGAACUCCGGAUCGGAGGCGGGGCCGUAGACUGGUAGUGCAACGCCCCACACCGAUCCCUCACCCCGCCCUUCUCUCCGUCUCCGGCGCUGUCAACAAAAAGCGGAUGAGAAGUGACGCGCGGGUCAGAGGGACAGACCCGGGCUUUUACUCGUAAGACGGACAGGACGGUUUCGGAGCAGGAGACAUCUCUCUCUCUCUCUCUCUCUCUUUCCUUCUUCUGUGUCUCUGUGAGAACACACAGUCGCUGAGGCUCCGCCCCCGCCCCCUCUGGUGGCUGUUUCGGGGAACUGCAAGAGAGAGGGAGAGUUUUGCGCUGCCGAAACGCCCCAAACACAGGGGUCCGGGUGGGGUGGGGGGUGUUAACCGCGCACGUUAGAGGGACGGGACGGGCGUCGCGUUGACUCGGAGGCUGCUCUGAAAGCCGUAGCUCAUUCUGUUCCAUGUUUGUUUGUCUUUCUACGAGAUGAGCUGUACCCAUAUGUAUUCUCGUCCGUCUGUCCUAUCUACUGUAUCUAUCUGUUAGUUGAGACACCCUCCUCUUUGUCUUAUUACUCCUUGGAAAGACAAUGGAAAUUAUGCCAAAAUGUUUUACAGACAAAUUUAGAGAAUGUUUAUUUUUUUGCAUUUUUCCUCCUCAAUGAUUUAUCUGUCUAGGAGGUCUGACUGUGGAAAAGAAAAAAGUGGAUGUGACUCUGGUUUUACUUUGAUAGCAAACUGGAAGCACAUUAAUCAUAGAUGAGAUCAGAACAAAUAGGGGAAAUGUUUGUCAUGAAAAAACAUCAAAAGGCUUGAAAUCCUUGAAAUUAGCUUAAAAUGUUGAAAAGUCUGCCUGACAAGCAGCUUCCCGUCACCUCUAUAGCAUUCAUUUAGGAUUUUAAAGAUCUUCUCCUUAAGAUGUGUUCAGGGCCGAGGAGUCACAAGGUGAUUAACUUAUUAAGUCCCUCCACAAUACGGUCACUGCAGAAGGCUAAUUUCUAAAAAAUAUACCUAAAAAUACAUGUACAGUAUGUAGAGUUCUUGGAUCCGUAAUCAGAAAGAGAUCAGACUCAUUUAACGGUAGUCUGGCUCCUUUCGUUUUACUCUUGUUUUUAUUCACACAUUACAUUACAUUACAGGUCAUUUAGCAGACGCUUUUAUCCAAAGCGACUUACAUUACACUUUAAACCCGUGGCUUUUCACAUUUUUGCCCAGGGAGCAAUUAGGGGUUAGGUGUCUUGCUCAGGGACACUUCGACAUGGACAUGGACCUGGAAUCGAACCAACAACCUUGUGCUUCCCACCACACCUUCUCUAACCCCUGCGCCACGACGACCCGACGACACACAAAAUACAUAGUUUGACAAGCAGUGUUGGCCAAGAUUUUGGUUCCGAUGCCUCAAAAGAAAUUUGUGGACCUCAUGCUUAAUCUGCUGAAUUUAGCAUUAAGCUUUCCAUUCAUUUCACAUUUGGCUUUGAUCAUAAGCACAAGAUCUGCAACUGGCAUGUUUUCAAUGAACCCCUCAUCUACUCUUUUAUUCUCUUAUAACAUCAAACUACUUGUUUGGUAUUUUCUUUGAUUUAUUCACACAAAUCGUGUGAAUCCUUUAUUUUUUAUUUAGUUUACAGAAUUCAAAAUAUCUUGUUUUUCUGUGUGUGCAUGUGCUUGUGUGUGUGCUUGUGUGUGUGUGUGUGUGUGUGUGUGUGCCGCUGCUCUACGCUCCCAGGGUCUCCAUAGCUCUCAGGUUAUUUAUGUUUGUGUGUUGUUCAUCGUGUGCUUUGCACUGUGAUACGUUCGUCUCCCCGUCCAACGCCAUCCUAGUCUUCCAGAAACGUCCGAUCCAUAACACUGACACACACACACAAACACACACACGCACACAGAAGAAUACAACUCGGCAAGUUUAAAGUGUCAAAGGUUAUAAAGAGUGUAAAAGGUUAUCAAACUAUCCAGGUGUAGAUGGGAAUGAACGGAUGAAUGCGCAGGUGAGAGCCAGGAAAGCAGACGGACCAAAUAUUUAGAAACGUCUGCAAGUUGUGAGAUUGCAUGUUCCGCUUGAAGAGAAAUCACAUCUUUGAUAGAAGCUCGUCUUUGCAGCCCGUUUAACUUGGUGUUUGCAUUUCCUGUAAACUCACCACAAAGCCAUAAACCAACAGAACUACAUAACAGUUUUUUUAUAAGCACCAGCAGCGGUGGCUGAUGAGCAAACUGAAGUAACUGCUGGAAGCAUCCUGGUCAGACGCCAUUUAAAAUCCUAUUUUUUCCUUCUAUAAAAUACUGUUUUGAUAUCAUUGCUACUAAUUUGUAUUUGUUUAGUUAAAGUCCAGCUGAAAUCGCUGCUGCUGCACAGCAGCUCAGGCAUCUGCUCAAUGAGUCACGCAGUUCUUUUGAGAAAAAUAAAAAAUCUGAACAAAAUGAUGUAAUAUUUUUGGUUUAACGAUGGUACCCGCAACCGUUUGCAUUUCAUUUAUUUUUGAGUCUUUUCUCCUGUAAAACUGGAAAAUACACAAUUUAAAUAACACUACAGACAAGUCUGCCUUUCUCCCCUUUGUUUGGAUAAUAUAAAACUGAAGAAUGAAUUAAACAGAAGAAUCAAAAGUAUUUUUUGUGUAUUUCAGUUGGACUUUAAACUUAAAGUGUCAUUCUCCUCUCUGAAGAGCUUGUAGAGCCUAAAAAUGUUAUUUUACGUUUUCUAAAGUUGAUAUUUGCUAGGUUAAUUAUUUAUUCUGUUCUAUGAAAGUGGGAUAUUUUGGUAACGAGAGUAUUUUUUUAUUUUAUUUUUUAUUUGUUUUUUAGAGUGUAUCAUAUUUAACUUCAGGAUUUUAAUUUAUAUUCUGUCCCGACCCGUUUGUCUGGUUUGUCUUCAUUGUAACAACACGUCUUGAGAACUGCAACUUUCUUUUAAUCUUUUUUGAUUUCAGCACCCUUUAUGCAUCUGAAUUGGGUGUGAACGCCACAUCCAUGGAAUCAUUUCACACGCAUGUCGGACACAACAAAGCCAGAGUCGGAAGAGCGGCGUUUUGGACGUGCGUGGCGACGCGGUCCAGCGGCCAUCUGUCGGAUUAUGCAUCCGGCGGCCUAAUGAACACUUUGUUGCUGUAGGUGCACACAGGACAAAAGCACGCAGGGUACAGAUAGCAGAACAAUGAAGGUCAUCUGAACCAUUCCACACAGCAGAAACUACCAGAUAUGUGACGGUGGGAAUGUUCAGAUCGGUCGGUACCCGGCCUGACACACCGGACCUCAGUCUGUCAGCCGAGAUGAAAUGACAAAAUAAAAUACCUUUUGAUUUAUCAUCCAUGUCUUUAUAGUUGGCUCUUUUUCUGUUCUCAUCUGGAAAAUAGGAGAUCUGUGUUUGCAUGUAGAUCACAAGACGAUACAAAUGUGCAUUAAAGCAGAAAUAACAGCAGUCAGUUAGUCGCUGGCGGUUUGAAAGAAGGUGGAAAUCUUUACUUAUACUUUAGAAGAUGGAAACAAUCAUUCAGCUAUUAACAUGAAACCUUGUUUCAAUCUUUGUCGCAUCUUGUGCACCAAAUCCACACAGCAGUAUGCAGUCAUUUACGAGGAUUUCAGAAGGGUUUGUUUAGAGAUUAGUAUUGUUGUUGAUGAUGAUGAUGAUGAUGGUGAUGAUGAUGAUGCCCAUGGUAGCAACGCACUGAAACUUUAUGCAACCUUUUCUUUGCACUAGGGACACAGGCCUGUUGCCGAGUUGAUGGUCAGUGGUGUUUGGUGAUCCAGCGGAGGGACGUCAGAGCCAGAAGGUUAAAGCAUUAUCUCCUUAGGUAGAAGAUGUUUUUACUGGAAGCUGUUUCAGGAUUAGUUUGUUUAAAAAACAUCAGCCGAUUCAACGACAAGAAAUUUAUUUUAAGAAAAACCUCUGACAGUAAAAAGUCGGAGUCGGAAAUUGGGGAUGGGAUUUUUUUUACAGUGGUUUUCUAAUGUUGUGUAGAUUCAAAUAUUUAAUUGAUUCAAACAUUAAAUUUAAUUGAAUUCAUGCAUUUUGUAAAACGUUUUUUAAAGAACAGUUGGUAAAAUCGACCAUCACGUUUACACAUAUGUAUCGAUGCUUUGAAAUACCCCGUCUUCUCUUUACAACCGGCUCCCAUUGCGCUCCUCAUUCGUCACUCGUCACAAACUGCCUGGAAUUUAUAACAUACUCAAUACUUGUCAAUGGUGCUCCGACUACAGUGCCCACAAUCGAGCUUAAGUGAGUAUAGUUAUUAUUUCAUUUUUAUGUUUCUGAGGACAAUCAAUUUAAAAAACGAUUGGAUCUCCCUCAUCCCAGGACCCCAGAGCACCACUGUCUAUCUGCCUCAGCCCGUUUCUCUGUCAGUAUGCCUGCCCACAGCAGCCUGAUGAUGUGUAAAUGUAUGGAAUGAGUAUUUUCUGUAAAAAAAAAAAAAAGCAGCAGAGGAAUAGGUUUAUUAAUGGGAAUACUUUUCUUUUCAUGUUAUGAAGUGAGAUUUGUUGAUGGACCGGGUGGAAAACACCUCCUUCACACACACAACUGGACAUAGAGGUUGCAUGAAUGACAGUCUCUUAGUGUGGUACUGCUGUGCAUGUCUUUCACGUCCCAUCCCUCCACUAUGCAAUCAGUGUCACAGACCAGGGGCACCAAAGCGAGUCGAGGGCGAGUGAAUGAACUGAUGAUAGUGUGUAAAAUGAUCACAACCAACUGGAAAUCAUUUGCUCUGUACAGCCGUUCUUUGAAAUGAUUAAUACAGAUUGUGAUAUUAAAAAGUUCCGGUCGGUGUUUGUGUGUUUU
This is a long non-coding RNA of Gasterosteus aculeatus aculeatus (three-spined stickleback), 5068 nucleotides long. NCBI's taxonomy places the organism in Eukaryota, Metazoa, Chordata, Actinopteri, Perciformes, Gasterosteidae. The record is from Ensembl.